AACCCACACUGAGGACAUUUCUGUAGAAGAUCCUUGAACCUAUCCCAUGUCUCGAAAAGAGACUCCAAUUCCAUUUGUACAAAAAAGGAUAUUUCAUUCCUAAGUUU
Small nucleolar RNA from Dioscorea cayenensis subsp. rotundata (Guinea yam), 107 nucleotides. Lineage: Eukaryota; Viridiplantae; Streptophyta; Magnoliopsida; Dioscoreales; Dioscoreaceae. The record is from RefSeq and is a predicted model, not a curated record.